Molecule: ribosomal RNA, 486 nt
Filed under: uncultured bacterium
Lineage: Bacteria
Description: partial 16S ribosomal RNA
Rfam family: Bacterial small subunit ribosomal RNA
Source: RNAcentral
AUUGAACGCUGGCGGCAUGCCUUACACAUGCAAGUCGAACGGCAGCACGGGUGCUUGCACCUGGUGGCGAGUGGCGAACGGGGGAGUAAUACAUCGGGACAUCUCCUGUAGUGGGGGAGAGCCCCGCGAAAGCCGGAUUCAUACCGCAUACGAUCUACUGAUUAAAGUGGGGGCCCUUCGGGCCUCGCGCUAUAGGGUUGGCUGAUGGCUGAUUAGCUAGUUGGUGGGGUAAAGGCCUACCAAGGCGACGAUCAGUACCUGGUCUGAGAGGACGACCAGCCACACUGGGACUGAGACACGGCCCAGACUCCUACGGGAGGCAGCAGUGGGGAAUUUUGGACAAUGGGCGAAAGCCUGAUGCAGCAAUGCCGCGUGUGUGAAGAAGGCCUUCGGGUUGUAAAGCUCUUUUGUCAGGAAAGAAAUACUUGGCCCUAAUACGGUCGGGGGUUGACGGUACCGGAAGAAUAAGCACCGGCUAACUACGUG